AUUAAAGGUUUUAUUGUUAUCAGCCAGUAAACACAGCCCGACGCAUGCUAGUGGUCUGCCUCAGCUGUGUGUGUGUGUGCGCGUUCAUACAUGAUAUCCAAACUUGUUAGAUUUGCUGCUGUUCUUGGGAUCAUUUGGGUCAUGCAACAGAACAGACAGCUAAAUGUGGCCUCACAUUUGGCUCUAGUACACUUUGGUAUACAGAGGCAUUCAUGGCUGACUGAAUGACUUCACCGUUACCGUGCGUGACACUUGGAGGGAUAUCAUGCACAGCCAUAUUUGGCCAUAUUGCUGGGUUUUUUAUUAUUAUUAUUUCUCUGAAAACUGUAUUAUGUGAUCACGGAUUGAAUCUGUUGGAACGCGUGAGAAGACUAACUGUAGAAUGAUGGACUUCAAUUGUUUGGAAAUGACUUUAUAGCCCAUCUCAGACUGAUGGGCAGCAACAAUUGCUUCUCUGCCAUUAAUGCUUAUAUCUUUCUCUCAUUGGCGUUUUGUUAACAAGCAUCUGAAUGCUUCACACCAGCAAACUGCCAACACGUCUGCUUUUAUAGAGGCGCUCACACUUGAUGAUGAACAAUUAAUCAAGCGCAUUUGAUCAGCAGCACCUGGCUGCUAUUUACCCUGUUAUUUUUUUUUAUGGAAGCAGUCAGUGCAGUGAGUAUUUUACGGGACUCUGUCAUACAGUGUAUGAGAAAAUGUGUUCUGCGUCACAACCAAAUAAUGCGUCUGGGUUUUAAUAACGGACGCUGACAGCGCGAGGCAAUUGGAGCAGAAACAAUCAGCUUCAUUGCCCAAAGCAAUUAGAUAAUUAUAUUCAUAAAGAUUUCCUCAUUUCAUCUUA
Molecule: long non-coding RNA, 841 nt
Organism: Maylandia zebra (zebra mbuna)
Lineage: Eukaryota; Metazoa; Chordata; Actinopteri; Cichliformes; Cichlidae
Source: RefSeq, a predicted model, not a curated record